This 29-nucleotide small RNA is filed under the name Bombyx mori (domestic silkworm). RNAcentral's name for it is "ovarian small RNA-4446". Lineage: Eukaryota; Metazoa; Arthropoda; Insecta; Lepidoptera; Bombycidae. The record is from RNAcentral.
ACGGAACGGGCCUCGGGGUAAACCCCAUU